RNAcentral lists this long non-coding RNA (601 nucleotides) under Gallus gallus (chicken). Its description in RNAcentral is "lncRNA (ENSGALG00010010092.1)". Lineage: Eukaryota; Metazoa; Chordata; Aves; Galliformes; Phasianidae. The record is from RNAcentral.
GGACAAUGGGGUGGUGACAAUGGGGGGUGGUGAAUGGGGGAUGGUGGCAAUGGGGUCAGUGAUAAUAGGGAUGGUGACAAUGGGGGUGGUGACAACAGGGACAGUGACAAUGGGAUGGUGACAAUGGGGUGGUGACAAUGGGGUGGUGACAACGGGGGGGUGACAACAGGGGGGUGGUGACAGUGGGAUGUGGUGACAGAGGUGACAAUGGGGAUGGCGACCACGGGUGACAAUGGGGAUGGUGACAAUGGGGUGGUGACAAUGGGGUUGGUGACAUGGGGAUGGUGACAAUGGGGUGGUGACAACGGGGGGGUGACAACGGGGGGGUGGUGACAGUGGGAUGUGGUGACAGAUGUGACAAUGGGGAGUGGUGACAAUGGGUGACAAUGGGGAUGGUGACAAUGGGAUGGCGACCAUGGGGUGGUAUCAAUGGGGACGGGGACAAUGGGGACAGCGACAAUGGGGGGGUGGCGACAAUGGGGGGUGGCGACAGUGGGGGGUGGUGACAGUGGGACGUGGUGACAGAGGUGACAAUGGGGAUGGUGACAAUGGGGUGGAGACAACGGGGGGGGUGACAACAGGGGGGUGGUGACAGUGGGAC